GGUACUGUGCCAGAAAGUGGGUUACUUUGAUGUGGUAAAAAUAAGAGGGAGUCUCUUCGGUAUCU
RNAcentral lists this transfer RNA (65 nucleotides) under Hiatella arctica. RNAcentral's name for it is "tRNA-Ile". The record is from RNAcentral. Lineage: Eukaryota; Metazoa; Mollusca; Bivalvia; Adapedonta; Hiatellidae.